Molecule: non-coding RNA, 201 nt
Organism: Vicia faba (fava bean)
Lineage: Eukaryota; Viridiplantae; Streptophyta; Magnoliopsida; Fabales; Fabaceae
Source: the annotation of a GenBank genome assembly
AUGCAAAUGGCUCCUAAGUUGACUAGAGGAAAGGGAGCUAGGCGAGGUAAGGGGCGUAGAAUUUACAAUUAUGAUGAUCCUACUGAAUAUUAUGAUGUUGUCGAAGCUGAAGGAAAUGAUGAUGGUCUUGAGGAUAUCAGUGGAGGACAACAUGGAGGCAUUCCCAUGGCCGAUGCGAAUCAUGAGGAAGAUGAAGCCUAG